This is a small nuclear RNA of Suncus etruscus (white-toothed pygmy shrew), 107 nucleotides long. The record is from RefSeq and is a predicted model, not a curated record. NCBI's taxonomy places the organism in Eukaryota, Metazoa, Chordata, Mammalia, Eulipotyphla, Soricidae.
AUUCUCACUUCGGCAGCAUAUAUACUAAAAUUGGAACAAUUCAGAGAAGCUUAGCAUGGCUUCUGUGCAAGGUUGACAUGCAAAUUCAUGAAGCAUUCCAUAUUUAA